CAGUCCCACGGGAAUACGAAGGGUGCAAGCGUUACUCGGAAUUACUGGGCGUAAAGCGUGCGUAGGCGGUUAUAUAAGACAGAUGUGAAAUCCCCGGGCUCAACCUGGGAACUGCAUUUGUGACUGUAUAGCUAGAGUACGGCAGAGGGGGAUGGAAUUCCGCGUGUAGCAGUGAAAUGCGUAGAUAUGCGGAGGAACACCGAUGGCGAAGGCAAUCCCCUGGGCCUGUACUGACGCUCAUGCACGAAAGCGUGGGGAGCAAACAGGAUUAGAUACCCCCGUAGUCCCUGUCUCUUAUACA
Molecule: ribosomal RNA, 301 nt
Filed under: uncultured bacterium
Lineage: Bacteria
Description: partial 16S ribosomal RNA
Rfam family: Bacterial small subunit ribosomal RNA
Source: RNAcentral